CCUACGGGGAGCAGCAGUGGGGAAUAUUGGACAAUGGGGGAAACCCUGAUCCAGCCACGCCGCGUGAGUGAAGAAGUAUUUAGGUACGUAAAGCUCUAUCAGCAGGAAAGAAAAUGACGGUACCUGACUCAGAACCACAGGCUAACUACGUGCCAGCAGCCGCGGUAAUACGUAGGGGGCAAGCGUUAUCCGGAUUUACUGGGUGUAAAGGGAGCGUAGUGGGAAGCGCAAGUCUGGAGUGAAAUGCCGGGGCCCAACCCCGGUACUGCCCUGGAAACUGUGGAGCUGGAGUGCAGGAGAGGUAAGCGGAAUUCCUGGUGUAGCGGUGAAAUGCGUAGAUAUCAGGAGGAACACCGGCGGCGAAGGCGGCGUACUGGACUGUAACUGACGUUGAGGCUCGAAGGCGUGGGGAGCAAACAGGAUUAGAUACCCCAGUAGUC
RNAcentral lists this ribosomal RNA (440 nucleotides) under uncultured bacterium. RNAcentral's name for it is "partial 16S ribosomal RNA". It matches the Rfam family "Bacterial small subunit ribosomal RNA", at positions 338 to 795 of the family's 1533-position model. The record is from RNAcentral.